GGAUACAUUGGCCUGGGGCUAUCCCAACCGAGUCCACCAAGGCUGUUAAAAAAAAUCAUGUACGCAUAAAUCAUGUUUUUAUUUUGAGAACAUAGUCGUUCCUUGGCAUUGGCUGAGUUCACCCUCACGUGGUGGUUUGGCGUCAAGUGAACUCUAAAGUUGUACCUCGGGAGUUACCCUACGCGCCUUUCCGAUCGAGGUAAGAGUAUAAAGGGAUUUCGUGCCCCUCAAAAAGGCUGGUCCACAAAACCUGCCCACUACAGCAAGCUAAACCUACCAUACAAUAAAAUUUGCGAUAGCAUGACAUGGCAAUUAUUUUAUUUUACAGCCUCUCAAGGCAAAUCAACAGUUUAUACAUUUUUAACACAUUUACCAAUUCAACAAUUCAUGCCAAUAUUAUCAUAAGCCAUUCAAUUAUAACCAUAAAUUCACAAUACAUCAAAUGGUCUCCAAUUACUCUAUUUUCAAACCCAUCAUUCAAUUUCAAGACAAUUUAUAAAAUCAUUUCAUUUAAACACAUUUUGUUUAUAAAACCUAAAAAUUAACCAUUUAAACUCAUUUUCCAUAAAAUCACAAAAUUGAAUAAAAGCCACUUUAGAUAAUUAAGAUGAUAGUAAGGUUUCUCACUAUUUCAGGAGUCGAAUUUCGAGUACUCCAAUUCUUAAUCCUCGGGUACUAUCUCUUUACUUUUGCCAGAAUGCUCACCACCUAAAAAUAAUGCACAAUAAGCCAUUUACUACAUUGUGCUAAACCAUUGUAAAACCAAUUCAAGCUUUAUACUAAUGCAUGAAAUGGGAUACAAAUUGUUCGGAUUAUUGUCUAAACACGGUGUUCUACAAAAAUUCAAUUGUGUACCUAAAUAAAACAGUAUUGGCCUAAUUCGAUCUAUCACUCGAUUAAUUGGCCAAUAUGUCCAAUUUAACUCCAUUUUUCUUCCAAUUCUCCAAACCAUCAAACACAAGUCAAAUAGCAUAAAAUUUAGCAAAAUCAUCUUCACAUUUUCUCUUGGGAAUUUUGGCCAUGGUGGGUGCAUUAAUACUAUGAUUUUUCCUACUUGAUUUUGUCACCAUAAUUCAUCAUUUCCUAACCAAUUCACUUGAAAUAAAAUAAAAUCCACCAUCCACACUCUACAUGGAAGAUUCGGCCAAUGAUGGGUGAUGGGAGGAAGUGAAUUUUUCUUGUUGGCUUUUCAUGCUACACAUCACUAACUAACUAAAAAUACUAAAAUACAUUGAAAUCUAACCAAAUCAACCAUCAAAAUCUCUCUGUAAGUGUUCGGCCAGCAAGAGACCUAUCAUGAAAUCAUGUGAUUCAACCAUGGAAAAUGCAAAAGAAUGUAUGGGAAAGGUAGAUCACAAGUCAAAAUCAAGAAAUUUUACCUUUGAUUGCUGAAUUACUUUAAAUCCAUCAAUUUUCUCUUGAAUUUUCACUCAAGGGUUUUUGUGCUUUCUUUUCUUCCUUUGUUCUUACUUUG
RNAcentral lists this long non-coding RNA (1474 nucleotides) under Theobroma cacao (cacao). RNAcentral's name for it is "long non-coding RNA (TCAC_LNC003042)". Lineage: Eukaryota; Viridiplantae; Streptophyta; Magnoliopsida; Malvales; Malvaceae. The record is from RNAcentral.